Passer domesticus (house sparrow) is the source of this 1391-nucleotide long non-coding RNA. RefSeq lists it as uncharacterized. Lineage: Eukaryota; Metazoa; Chordata; Aves; Passeriformes; Passeridae. The record is from RefSeq and is a predicted model, not a curated record. The transcript has 2 exons.
UCGGCGUUACUGCCAACUGUGCCCCAGCCCUGACAGACAGAGACACCUGGGUCACACUGUGUACUUCCCUGGACACAAGUGUCCUGCCAUCUGCACCUGGCAUACCAGCGAGAGGAUUCUGGUGUUUUUGUGCCCCUUUGGGUGGUUGUCAGCCUACCAGCAUUGGAAACCGUCCUCUGACUUUCACAAUAACCAUCAAUUAAAGCUGGUUGAAGAUGGGCAGAAGUCACAUAAGGACAGCUACCCACAAGGAUGUGAAAAUCUCCUGAAGGGUGGCAUAUUUAGGCUGGAUCCCAUUAACUGGAUUACAAAAAGUUGUUGAAAUGAAUCUUGUUGCCUAAGGCAAACACCCUUUUUUAAAAAUAGUGUGAGUCUAAAUAAUACACAGAUGUUGCCUUCUUUAGUAAAAAUAAAAUUCACUGGGACAAUGGUUUCUGAACUAAACAGUGCUAAGUGAUCUUGCAGGUGCUUCCCUUAGUAGCUGAUACUUUUCUAAGACUGAUAGCAUGCAACUGAAGCUUGCUUUGAGCAAUAUUUCUGAAAUUAAACUUUGUCAGCUUGCUGAACAAAAGAGGCAGACUCCACCUGUGUGCUCUCUGCCUUCAGUGCCGAAAAGAAGAGACGUGGCUGUAAGCAGCCUCACUACACCAAAGGCUCUCUGUGUUCUGCCUUCAGGACAACUUUGUCCAGACUUCAUCACUAAUCACAGUGGGGUGCAGAUCAGGCGCAAUCAAUCUGCAAAGCUUUGAUGCAUGAGCAUAAUCCAAGGUGACUGCUGUUCUCCCCAGGACUUGUGCAGCCUUAGGGGCUGUGGGCAGUUUUUUUACCCUUUUUCAGGCCUUACACGGUUUCACUCAGCUGCACCUUGCAUCAGAGUAGCACAGUGACUCUGAUGCACUGAAUGGAGCAUAUGCUGGAAAAUGUUUUUCUGAAUACAAAGAGCAUGGUCCAGCCCAUCUCUGCUUCCUGAGAGGAGACAAUUAUCUGUUAGAUAGUGUACAUCUCAGCUUGUGUUUGCGGAAGUUGGGAGUUUAAGAUUGAAUUUACAUGGGAGAAGAAAGACAGACUGCAGCCAUGCCUUCUCUCCUGUAGGAGUGUGUCUCAGCACUUACAACCCCUCUGUGUAACUGCUGCCUGUCCUGUGUUGCUGGAGGAAAUGAAGCAUAUGGCUUUAAGAUAUCAGAGAACAGACAGUUAAUUGUGCAUAUGUGGAACCAAGCAAGUAUUGUCACUUUAACUUGAUCUGAAAUUCCUGUAACACCACUAUUUCCAGAUAUCAGUGUCUGGAUUAUCACUUAUCUCAGGUAUGACUCAUAAACAUCUGGCUAUAAGGAAGAGCUACCACCACAAUUUUUGUUCUGUGAUUAAAUAAACAUUCCCACCAAAAUGGA